CGAUCGCCCGCGAGGGCGGUCACGAAGCCCUGACGAGUAGGAGGGUCGCGGCGGUGAGCGCAGAAGGGCUGGCCGCGAGGCCGUCUGGAGCCGCCGUCGGUGCAGAUCUUGGUGGUAGUAGCAAAUACUCCAGCGAGGCCCUGGAGGACUGACGUGGAGAAGGGUUUCGUGUGAACAGCCGUUGCACACGAGUCAGUCGAUCCUAAGCCCUAGGCGAAAGCCGAUGUCGAUGCGGUGUAGUUUUUACCAAAUAUAUAUAUAUAUAUAUAUAGAGCGAGAACACACCCGUCGGGCGAAAGGGAAUCCGGUUCCUAUUCCGGAACC
RNAcentral lists this ribosomal RNA (324 nucleotides) under Aeoniacalles aeonii. RNAcentral's name for it is "eukaryotic LSU rRNA". It matches the Rfam family "Eukaryotic large subunit ribosomal RNA", at positions 1345 to 1625 of the family's 3401-position model. RNAcentral also lists the same sequence under 1 other name. The record is from RNAcentral. Lineage: Eukaryota; Metazoa; Arthropoda; Insecta; Coleoptera; Curculionidae.